UACGGGGGGGGCAAGCGUUGUUCGGAAUUACUGGGCGUAAAGGGCUCGUAGGCGGCCAACUAAGUCAGACGUGAAAUCCCUCGGCUUAACCGGGGAACUGCAUCUGAUACUGGAUGGCUUGAGUUUGGGAGAGGGAUGCGGAAUUCCAGGUGUAGCGGUGAAAUGCGUAGAUAUCAGGAGGAACACCUGUGGUGUAGACGGCUUUCUGGACCAUCACUGACGCUGAGACACGAAAGCGUGGGGAGCAAACAGG
This 253-nucleotide ribosomal RNA is filed under the name uncultured bacterium. RNAcentral describes it as "partial 16S ribosomal RNA". It matches the Rfam family "Bacterial small subunit ribosomal RNA", at positions 524 to 776 of the family's 1533-position model. The record is from RNAcentral.